ACACGACUACAUUAGACUACCCGGUAGUCCUAGCCGUAAACGAUACUCGCUAGGUGUCGGCCACGGUGCGACCGUUGUCGGUGCCGUAGGGAAGCCGUGAAGCGAGCCACCGUGGGAAGUACCGGCCGCAAGGCUAGAAAACUUAAAAGGAAUUGGCGGGGAGCACAACAACGGGUGGAGCUUGCGGUUUAAUUGGAUUCAACGCCGGAAAUCUUACCGGGACCGACAGCAACAUGAAGGCCAAGCUGAAGACUUUGCCGGAUUAGCUG
RNAcentral lists this ribosomal RNA (269 nucleotides) under uncultured archaeon. RNAcentral's name for it is "partial 16S ribosomal RNA". It matches the Rfam family "Archaeal small subunit ribosomal RNA", at positions 717 to 982 of the family's 1478-position model. The record is from RNAcentral.